This 492-nucleotide ribosomal RNA is filed under the name uncultured bacterium. Its description in RNAcentral is "partial 16S ribosomal RNA". It matches the Rfam family "Bacterial small subunit ribosomal RNA", at positions 29 to 507 of the family's 1533-position model. The record is from RNAcentral.
AGUGAACGCUGGCGGUAGGCCUAACACAUGCAAGUCGAACGGCAGCACAGUAAGAGCUUGCUCUUACGGGUGGCGAGUGGCGGACGGGUGAGGAAUACAUCGGAAUCUACUUUUUCGUGGGGGAUAACGUAGGGAAACUUACGCUAAUACCGCAUACGACCUACGGGUGAAAGCAGGGGAUCUUCGGACCUUGCGCGAUUGAAUGAGCCGAUGUCGGAGUAGCUAGUUGGCGGGGUAAAGGCCCACCAAGGCGACGAUCCGUAGCUGGUCUGAGAGGAUGAUCAGCCACACUGGAACUGAGACACGGUCCAGACUCCUACGGGAGGCAGCAGUGGGGAAUAUUGGACCAUGGGCGCAAGCCUGAUCCAGCCAUACCGCGUGGGUGAAGAAGGCCUUCGGGUUGUAAAGCCCUUUUGUUGGGAAAGAAAAGCAGCAGGUUAAUACCCCGCUGUUCUGACGGUACCCAAAGAAUAAGCACCGGCUAACUUCGUG